UUAAUGAAGUAUUUGAUUAUGGUACAUCUUAAUGGGUGUCUAGGUAUAUAACACAUGCAAGUUUAAUAACUAUUUAGUUAUAGCGUAGGGGUCAGUAAAGUUGAGAAUUUGCCUAAGAGAUCAUAGUAAUAAUGAAUAUGUAAAGGAAAGGAAAUCAUUUCGCUCUUAGAUUAGCUCAAUCCCUAUUAGGUAGUUGGAGAGGUAAUGCUUAACAAGCCGAUAAUGGGUAAUAUUGGAUGACAGUCCUAUAUGUGACGUUGGAAAUGAAAAAGUCCAGAGCAUCUAACGGUGCGCAGCAGUGAAGAAUAUUGGUCAAUGCACAACAGUGUGAACCAGUGACCUAGAGACAUUUCUUUCUAGGAGAGAAGAGUUAAUAAAUUUUAAAUGAUGAUUAAAAUUUUGAUUAGUCCUGUCCAAUAUCUGUGCCAGCAGAAGCGGCUAUACAGAAGGGGCGACCCAUGGGAACAUUAAUUAGGUGUAAAGGGUACGUAGCCAGUCUUUAUUCUUAAGACUUGAAUUUAAAAGAAGUGACAAUAAUACUUAGAGUAGAUCUGAUAUGUGUUGAUACUGAGGGGAAUGCUAAGUGGCGAAGGCAAGUUACUAAUAAAAAUUGACGGUAAGGUACGAAAGUUAGGGUAUAGACAGAGAUUAGAUACCUCAUUAUUCCUAACCGUAAACGAUGCAAACAGGGUGUUAGUUUAAAACUAGUGCCGAGAUUAACGAGUUUAGUUUGCCACCUGUAGAGUACGGUCGCAUGGCUGAAAUACAAAUAAUUAGACGGCUUUAAAGCAAACGGAGUGGAGCAUGUUGUUUAAUUCGAUGACCCGCGAAAAAUCUUACCACAUCUUGCAUAUUUUAAAUCUUUAACAGGAAUUAAAUUACAGGUAUUGCAUGGUUGUCGUCAGUUAGUGCCAGUGAGGCGUCCGGUUAAUUCCAAUAAACUAACGCAAACCUCUAUGUAAAUUUAUACUUUACAAUGUACUCCGAUGAUGGGUGCUUUGAUAGGGGGAGUAAGACAAAUCCUCAUGGUCCUUAUGGUGUGGGCUAUAGACGUGCUACAAGAAUAAUUAACAAAGUGAUGCAAUAUCGAAAGAAGGAGCUAAACAUUAAAAAUUAUUAAAGUACAGAUUAAGAGCUGGAACUCGCUCUUAUGAAGCAGGAAUUCCGAGUAAUCGUGAAUUAGUAUGUCACGGUGAACUUCAAUCUUUAAAGUGUACUAACUGCUCAUCACGGGCUGAGUGGGAGUUUGCGAGGAAGUGGCAUGAUGUACUUUGUGAAAUGAGUAGUCAUUUAUGACACCUAUUUAGGUAAAACAGAUAAUAUAGAAUGUCGCGAAUCGUGAUUGCCGAUCGGUCUGAAGUUGAAACAAGGUUGUGCUAGAGGAAUCUGGCGCAGAUAGUUAACAAAA
This 1408-nucleotide ribosomal RNA is filed under the name Apiotrichum gracile. RNAcentral's name for it is "SSU rRNA". It matches the Rfam family "Bacterial small subunit ribosomal RNA". Lineage: Eukaryota; Fungi; Basidiomycota; Tremellomycetes; Trichosporonales; Trichosporonaceae. The record is from RNAcentral.